UCAAUCACUGUUUCAAGCCAUGACUUAGGACUUUUGCUAGAAUAUGUCAGAUAUGUAUAUUGUGCUUGAACUUGCACCCUGAAACAAAAAUAAAGAUAUUUAGUAAAACUGCAACUGAAUUGCAUAAGUUAGUAAAAAAAACCUGAAAAAGUGCUCAAUAUAAGGUAGAAUAAUCAGUUUUCAGUUCACAUGAGCCAUGAAUAAGCACUACUGAAUAUCAUUAAACAGUUAUCACCAAGAAAUUAGGGCUAGCACCUAAGAAACUGCUAUCCUGUUGGAAAAUUAUGAUUCUCUAGAGAAACAUAGGAAAUCACAAAUACCAAUGAAUGAUAAAUGCGUGUUAGCAGUCGUGUUACUGCUGAAAACAAAAGAAAAUUGAAAGGACUGAGUAAAAGAACUACAGCUAGAGCUACUUCUGGGUGUUGUUUUGGUUGCUGUAAUGCUGAGCCUUGUCAUCACUCAGUAAAGUAAACUGUUUAUUAACCAGUAAGCUAAUUUGAUUGCUAUUGUUUGCUUUACUUGUCACAACUAGUCUCACAUCAACCUCCCCAGAAAAUGGCCAGCAGAAUCAUCUGUUGGGAUGUAUAGGAAGGAAAGAAAGCUGUGUGCUAAAAAAUGAAGAUCUGGUCAACUUUAUCAGGAUGGAAAAAGGUGUAGCUCUACUGAAGUGUCCUGUAGAUUGGCCAACAAUGCUAACAAGGCUGAGUUGGGCACCUUUGCCCUUAUUAAUGAGAAAAGAAUAACUGCUGUAUGUCUGAGUAAAUGAGUAUUGAGGUAUCAUUCAGCAUUUCAAGUAUGCCAGUUGUACUGACCUUUCUCCCCAAAAUACUAAAUAUUACUGUGAAAAAAAAACUUCUGAAAACAACAUUACAAAAUAGCAGUUCAAUAUAGCCCUGGUAAAUGAAAAAUUCGGAAAAAAACAUUCAUUAGCUAAUUUCACUGUAGUGUUUUAUUAUUAAAAAGGAACAAUAAUGGCUAACAAGAUACGAUUCCCAAGUAAGAUAAUGUAGUAUAUAGUAUUGCCCCUUUAUAAUUAUUGAUACAUGAUAAUUAAAUUCUAAGGUGCCAUCUACAAAUGCUAAAAUAACAGUCUUCAUUCCAGAAGCCGCUUCCUAAUGCCCAUUCUAUCCUCUGAGAAUUAAUUCUAGCAGUAAGGCUUUCCUAUAAUUAACAUUGCCACUAGGGAAUCAAUUUUGCUUAGAAAACAUUUCAGAUCUCAUAAAAUGCAGAUGAUCUUCCUACUGCUUUGUUGAUUCUUCUUUUAUCUGGUUGUAACCCAACAAACCGCAGCUGGGGUUUCUGUAUGGAGCAGUUCUGAUCGGAUUGAAGCCAAGAGGGACAAGAUGGCAACAGUCCAUUGGUAAGGCUACUGUGGCUCACAGAUACAAGGCAACUGCCUCCAAACCCAUCAGUCACCCCAGGCCUGAACACUGCUCAAAGCCAAAGGAAGUCCAAUAGUCCAUGUUGCCAUUAACUUCUCCACUUUUUGUCUGAGCUAAUUUUCUGUUUGUUCCUGGCUAUCAGUAGCUGAUGGGGGACGGUAACCUUAAAGUUAUUAUGCAGCCCUAAGCAGCAGUAUUUAGCUUUUCUAAAUUGGUAGCACAUCUGAAAUACAUGCCAUGUCACGAUUAAUAUAAUAGUAACAACACCUCUCCAGGGCAUCCAAAACAGUAUAUCCAAAGUUCACAUUGUCUAAUGGAACAAUUAAUGCAAUAAUUUUGACUCUAAUAUGCCUUCACUUGUAAAUCAUCAAGUCAUUAACCUUAAUAAAACCAAACUGCUGUCAUUUAUCAUGCUCAUCUAAAUUGCUCAGUACUGCAAUAACAAAAUACUUCACAGAAAGGAGUGUUUGAAUGUCCCAGUGAAGCCUGGUAAAUACAGCAACCUUUUAACACAUUGGGAGUACUUUGUAAAGAAAAAAUACAAACUGAAAAGUUACAAGAAAUAUAGUAGGUCCCCCCCAAGCCCCUCCCCC
This 1975-nucleotide long non-coding RNA is filed under the name Gallus gallus (chicken). RNAcentral's name for it is "lncRNA (ENSGALG00010001984.1)". The record is from RNAcentral. Lineage: Eukaryota; Metazoa; Chordata; Aves; Galliformes; Phasianidae.